This 800-nucleotide long non-coding RNA is filed under the name Struthio camelus australis. RNAcentral's name for it is "lncRNA (ENSSCUG00000009127.1)". The record is from RNAcentral. Lineage: Eukaryota; Metazoa; Chordata; Aves; Struthioniformes; Struthionidae.
GGAGCACUGAUUCGAGGGGUUGGACUAGAUGAUCUCCAGAGAUCCCUUCCAACCUCAAUCUUUCUGUGAUGCUGUGAUAUGUAUUGUGUGUGUGUUUAGGGGCAGAGAAUAGAGAGCUUGGAGAAUUAAGAAAAAGUGGAACUAUAUUUCAAAGUGGAACUGUAUUUCAAAGUGUCAAGAGAAGUUAAGAUUCAACAAGGGCAGGUUUCCUUCCAUAGUAAGUCUGGUUAUAUAUUAUAUUUGCACAAAUCAAGUGUUGAGUACAGAUCUGAUGGAUAUUUCAAUCUAUCCUCAUCCCUUUUAGUCCUGCACUGUUGGGAUUGGGUUCUCCGCACAAACAUGCAACUUCUUCUUGGAAUCAUCUUUUCCCUAGGGAUCCAAGUUCCUGGAACACUCAGCUUGAAAUUGCAACAUGACGGAACUGAACCUGACACCUGCAUAGGAUUUGAAAGCACCCUUAAUAGCAUGGGAUCAGGUUUUGCAUAUUGUGCCAAAAACACUUCAGCAAGUCCAGCACCUUCAGCAUCUUUGCAGCACUUUGCUGCUGGAUCUGUGGAAGCCCCUGCUGCCUGAAGACAUCUGGACUGGAGAAGACCUGCAUAUGAGGGUCCCAGCCCCUCUGGUGCAGGAGGUGAAAGACAGCUUAGAUCAGCAUCUGAUCUCCUAUGAACACGACCUCUAAUUUCCUGAUACGAAAGUCUGUCUCUAACAAUCUUCCUUGCUAUCACAAAAGGGCUAUAAGCCCUUUCUAAUGAGCAAUCUGCAAAUACUAGCGAUAGGACUCAACCUUUGUUCCCAAG